This 460-nucleotide ribosomal RNA is filed under the name uncultured bacterium. RNAcentral's name for it is "partial 16S ribosomal RNA". It matches the Rfam family "Bacterial small subunit ribosomal RNA", at positions 338 to 795 of the family's 1533-position model. The record is from RNAcentral.
CCUACGGGGGGCAGCAGUGAGGAAUAUUGGUCAAUGGACGAGAGUCUGAACCAGCCAAGUAGCGUGAAGGAUGACUGCCCUAUGGGUUGUAAACUUCUUUUAUAUGGGAAUAAAACGUUCCACGUGUGGGAUUUUGUAUGUACCAUAUGAAUAAGGAUCGGCUAACUCCGUGCCAGCAGCCGCGGUAAUACGGAGGAUCCGAGCGUUAUCCGGAUUUAUUGGGUUUAAAGGGAGCGUAGGUGGAUUGUUAAGUCAGUUGUGAAAGUUUGCGGCUCAACCGUAAAAUUGCAGUUGAAACUGGCAGUCUUGAGUACAGUAGAGGUGGGCGGAAUUCGUGGUGUAGCGGUGAAAUGCUUAGAUAUCACGAAGAACUCCGAUUGCGAAGGCAGUUCACUGGACUGCAACUGACACUGAGGCUCGAAAGUGUGGGUAUCAAACAGGAUUAGAGACCCCAGUAGUC